Antechinus flavipes (yellow-footed antechinus) is the source of this 2145-nucleotide long non-coding RNA. RefSeq lists it as uncharacterized. Lineage: Eukaryota; Metazoa; Chordata; Mammalia; Dasyuromorphia; Dasyuridae. The record is from RefSeq and is a predicted model, not a curated record. The transcript has 5 exons.
CUGAAGUCUGAAAGUUCUUGAGUUGAGCUUGGGUUUGAGCAGUACAAUUGUAGACUUACCCAAAUCUAGAGUUCCAAUAGCAUACUUUUUGACUCAGCUGUCUGCCAGAUGGAAAGCUCUGAUGGUUCAGGGAAUAAAUAGUCCAAGGGGACUUUGGACUUGAACUUGGUGGGACCCCUGCAUUGUUGUUAUUAUUUGCUUUUGGUUUUAAUGAGUACCAUUGACAUCAAGGGAUGAUGGCUUGGCUUGCAGGUGAAUUGGAUUUAAGUGAAACAGAGUUGUACAAAGCCUUACUCUCUUCCUGAGUCAUCCGUGUCCAGUGGCACAGGACAAAAGUCAAGAAAACUGGCAAUGGCCCAGGAUGCAGUGCGUGACGUUAGUGUCUUCAGUGCCCAACCAAGCUAAUCCGAUGGCAUUUUCCCAUCCCAGAUCUAUUGGAAUUGUCUUGAAUCACCACAUCGCUGAGAAGUACCUCAUCCAUCAUAGUUGAUUAUCGCACAGUCUUGCUGUUAUGAUGUACAGUGUUCUCUUGGUUCUGUUCACUCAGCAUCAGUUCAUGUUUCAUAGUGUUUGGGGGAAGAAAGAUAUGUGCGAUGGCAUGAGAGACUGUUGGUUUGGACAUUUUUUUUCCUCUUUAAGUAUUGCCAUUUACCUGAGUUGUGAUGUUUAAUAAAAGUCAGCAUCAGACCUAAGACUGCUUCUCUCUGAAAGACAUCCAUGGCCAGUGAUGAGAUCCCUUUUCAGUCCUCACCGGAAGUUUUUCGGAAAAGAGUCAUCAAAGUUCAGUACCAGGACAAAGAUCAAGAUGACCAAGAUGACCUGGGAUGCAAUGGAUGACCCUCAGUAUCGUGUCUGACCAAGCUCUAAACACUCCACAGUACCUUCAUCGCCACUGGAACCCAGGCAUGCAGCUAAAGUAAACACUGAAUGUCCACCUUGGAAAAAGUUAGGGGGACCUCAGACUGGGGAACAAUGUCUCUAUCCUUGAAAAAGCUGACAUUUUAGCUCACCCAUCAGAGAAUUAAAACAUGGAAAUUCUUUUUUUUUUUAAUUUAAUUUUAUUUAAUAAUAACUUUGUAUUGACAGAAUCCAUGCCAGGAUCAUUUUUACACAACAUUAUCCCUUGCAAUCACUUAUGUUUUGUUUUUUCCCCUCCCUCCCUCCUCCCCCCCCCCCAAGAUGGCAAGCAGUCCUAUUAUAUGUUAAAUAAAACAUGGAAAUUCUUGAACAACAUGAUUAGACCACAGAUUUUUCAGAGGCUUCUCCUUUAAUCUAAAUUAAAUAUACUAUAUUAUAUAAAUAUAAAUUAAAUAUAAGUAUACUCUCUGGAUUUUUGGUUACAUGAAUAAAUGGAAUGUUUGUAUCUUAUCUUGCCUAUGAGUUUAUGUUCAGUAUGAAAGAUGCUCAGUCCGUAAACGGAACUAAAGUUCAUUUAAAAGGUUUUGCUCCAUUGAUCCCAAAAACAACAUAGAAAAAGGAAAGAAUUAACAAGGAAAUUAGAGUUUACAACGUCAUGGUAUGGAUCUGAAACUCAAUUUAAAGACAAUGAGAAAUUAUUAGGGGCUCUUAAAAGUAAAAAAUGCUAAACAUGCAACUCUGGACACAUUUAUUACUUCAUCUAGAACCCAGAUGAAUGAUUUUAAUUCCUCUUUCUCCAAAAGCAAGAAAAUAGAAGAGUGAUUUUUCACUUAAACAGGGUCCUCAUUUUUGCCAGCUAUCCGAAUCUCUUUCAAGGGUUAACUUAGAAAAAGAAAGCAGAAGUUUAAAAGCCAUGAUAUUGGAAACUGCUGUAUAGAAAUGUUUUGAUUGCUUUGCAACAUUUGGAGGUUAAGUUCUCCUUGAUCAGAAUUCUGUAAUUGCUUAUCCAAGCAAGAUUAAGCCUAGAAUAGUGAGUCCUCUUAGUUUGGUAAAUGACUAUCUAAAGUAUUCAAAUGUAACUAUUCCAGAUUAUGAAAGCGGGAUUUUGCUCAGUGCUGCUGACCUUGGAACGUUUAUCAAUGGAUGUUGCAAUUGGGCUUGAAUAUUACUUUUUCUGGGACUUGAAGAUAUCAUUUCAGUACUGGAAGUAUUGUGAAGGUUCUUCUGUAAAUGAAUAUCCAAGCUGUUCCGGGAACUUAGGAUUCAGGAGAGUUUUAAAAAAAAAAA